GUUGCUACCGAUUGGCUGUGGGAUAGAGCUGGGGGGAGGGCGUCUCUUAGGGGUGACCUUUUGAGAUGCUGCGAAUCCCAGCAAUAUUUCUCUGCUAGAGGAAGCAAAAGUCGUAACAAGGUUGCUGUAGGUGAACCUGCAGAAGGAUCAAGAUCGGAAUAGCUUCGUUUAGGGUACGUGCUUACAUCUCGGUGUUCUCCGUAUCCUUUCAAUAACUUCUCUUCUCCUCCCCUCUCCUCCUCUCUCUCCUUCCUCUUCUUAUUUCACCUUCAUUCCC
RNAcentral lists this unclassified non-coding RNA (277 nucleotides) under sea anemone metagenome. RNAcentral's name for it is "partial contains small subunit ribosomal RNA and internal transcribed spacer 1". The stretch from base 1 to 153 matches the Rfam family "Eukaryotic small subunit ribosomal RNA", at positions 1678 to 1831 of the family's 1831-position model. The record is from RNAcentral.